UAGCUAAUAAAAAAGGAGAGGAGAGGGGUGGAAGCACCUAUGUGAAUACAACCCAGAGGAGAAUAGAUCUGGUUGCUGGUGGUUGUGGGGUUGUGUAUCUAGGCCUGAACUGAACAGCAGAUCUAAUCUGCCUACCAAUGCAAGUACUCACAAAUGCACUGCCUCCCCUUCAUGAAGCUGCAGCAGUAUGCAGCAAAGCCCACCUAAGCUGAGGUCCUCCAGCAGUGCUGCACCCAGAGCUCUCCAGGUUCAGUAACUCAUUUCCUCUGGGGAGGAAAAAGAUGAAAGUAGAAUAAGAUCUUUUGAAGAACUGUCUCUAUGGACCAGUGUGUCAGUGUAUGCAUUGUCUUCAUAGAUCCUAUGCUGUCUGGAGGAUUCUGAAGUAAAAUCAGGUGGUGACUCUAAAGAUCUGUCAUCUGUCUCUUACUUCACUUAAAUCUCUGGGUGUGGAUGAAAGUUGAGCUGAGACUGUUCCUUGAUCUGAAUAUAGUCCCUUUGUGUUCACAAAGGACUGCGGAUAAUACUUACUGGCAGUGAGUUAUCCUUACAGCUUAUGUUCCUCCAACAAUACUACCAGAGUGCUACAGGUAGAUGGAAGUGAAGUUAUGUCACUGGGCAACUUUUCAGCAGUGCACUGUUGGCUUUGCUACCAGCUGCAGGUGGUGGCCAGCAUUCAGUGACAAGUUACAAUCUGAAGUCUUCUUGACCAUGUUGCAAUAGGAUUAUGUCACUGCUGUUGUAUCAUUUCCACCCUUCUCCAUGAGGACAGCUUUCUAUUUUUUGCCAUUAAGGAAACCAUACUGCCUGGAAAUAAAUCUGUAUUACAAUGACAUUAUAUGGUGUUGGGAAAUAGCUUUGCAUCUGAUUGGCUUGUUCUUAGAAGAUUAGGGACUAAGUAGAUAUGCAAGUAUUUCUUCAGAUGUCAUUUAUAUUUAAUGUACAACUUGAAAGGGAAGGCUCUGCCAAGAGCUGUCUUCAAAUAUGCUUAAAAACUUUCAUAAGAAUUGAAUACAAGCAGGGAGUGAUGCCUGACCCCCCAAAUGCUCUUAUAAGUACUGUGUGUAAGAGGAUGCUCUUGGCUCCUGCAGCCCUUCUGCUCUGUUUACAAGAAUGUUUCCUGGCUGGCUCAGAGAAGCUGGUUUCCAAUGGGAAUAUUAAUGCAACAGGAGAGGGAACAACUGGAAAGAUGUGGUAUGUCUUCCCCCAGACCCGGGAUGCUCCCUCAGCAGGGAGAAAUGCCUGUGUUCUGCAGCCUUCAGCAUCGUCUGCCAGGAAAGCAGCCAUCCUGCAACAGACAAAAUCCAUGAAGGCAUUUUAAGAGAGAAAGGAUAGGAACAGGUUUGCACUGCCAUCUUCAGCCCCAGGGAAAAAUGGAGCUCCUUCAUUUAGUGGGCAGAGCAUGUGGCUGUAUGGGGUAUCCCACAGGCACUUGGAUAUGUGUACUCCAAAGAUCCUCACAAGAACAGUGCUUCUGCUGCUCUUUGCACCAGCCAUGCAGGAAGAGAUGGAGGGAUUUCCUCCAUGCAGUCACUACCAGUGCUGUGGAAGGAAAAUAUGUAAGCCCUCCAAGGUACAGCAAGACUACAAAAACAUGGGAGAGAAGUAACUGGUGGUAAAGCAUGUGUUUGAGGGAGAGAAAUCUGGAAAAAAAAAAAGGGCAGCCUAGAGCUCUAGAAGGGAAAGUGAACAGAGCAGUGGAAGGUUCUGGGAAGACAAGAAAGCUUGGUACAACAUAUUGCCAAGUCUGCGCAUGGAUUUUUGAAGAUUUUUUUUCUGCUCUAAUAUAAACACCUCUUUCCUUAAUGCAGAAACACAGCUUCACUGAUGGUCAGAAGAUGCAAUCUGGUGAUGAAGUGUUUAAACAGCAUUUAAGAUUUUCCAUUACAUAGGAGUACCUAUUAAACAGAGAAGUUGCAUCAUUAUUGAUUUACAUUUUUGUGAUUUUACAUUUUCAAAAAUUUUAGCAACUUCUUGGAGUUAUGGUGCAUGAAAGAUUCUGCUAGAGUUAAUGGGGUAUUUGUAUUUAACCACCCUUGUUGCAAGAUGUGGAACAAACUUAAGAACUUAAAAAAUACUCUGAACUAGAAUUCCUAAAGUAUCUUAAAAAUCCAGUAAUACUGCUUUAUAUAGAAAGCCACGCAUCUCUGGAAAUCUAGCUGCAGAACAAACCAUCACAUUACUGUAAAGCUGAAUAGCUUUAUAUACAAAAUGCUGAAUUUUCAAAAUCUUCUAUCAGUAGCCUUUUUGUUUUAUGGACUAUUAAACUGGUGUGCAACAGGCUGUCACUAAACAUUUGUUCCAUGUUUUGCUGAAUGAAGUACAGAAAUACAAGGCAGCUGAGGCGCCUUCCCUGCAGAGAGUAAAGAUGACAAAAUUGGGAGCUGCUGCAAGAACUGAAAAACAGAGGUGUGGGCUACAUGCUGUGUGUGUUGCAGUGAUGGUUAUUUAGGGGUUGUGGGAAAAGGAGGCGAGAUGCUGGAGCUUGCUGAAAUUGUCAGAACUGCUGUAUGUUUUAUUAAUGAUCUAUAACCUUUUAGAUAUACAGACUAUGCUGCUAAUAGCAAAAGCAAAAUAACAAAAAGAUCUUAAUUUGUCUCUUUUUGUAACUGGGAAGAGUUUGAUAGUGUGUUGAUAGUCUCAGGACAUAAACCAUCAGUAAUAGCUACCAGGAGUCACUGUCAGCCUGAACCUGGCUAAGUGUAAAGCGUGUAUAAACUUCAUCAUCUAAUUGCCACUAGUCAUUAACCCACUCUUCUAGCUGAAUACCAUGUAGGACUGGCAUGAAACCUGCUGGAUAAAGGAAUAUGACUUCUCUUGCUAACAAUCUGGCACUCUGAGCACCCAUCCAUCUGCUUAUCUAGGAGCUCUGUGGUAAAAGCCAUGAAGGAAAAAUAGGCGAAACUUUUUGACGAGAGAUAGCAUUAAAGUAAGCAUAAUGUCAGGUGGGAUUAAACUUGGGCUGAUAAAAUGUGCCUAAAAUCUCUUCUGGAGACAGAAGUCUUCACCCACCACACAGGCUCAGCACAGCUAGUGGCAGUGUGAGUGACUCCUGUCACACAGUGCACCUUUCUUCUUCGUGCAGACCGAGGCAGCAAGGGUACUGUGGCAAGCACACACCUAGUUGCAGUUGUCAGCAUCACUUUGGAGUCCAAGCAACUUCCCAUGUCAACAGGGUAAUUGGCAGAAGAUCUUUCACAUGCACAGACACACAAAUAAGUUGUAUUUUGCAUUCAAAACUAAGAAGGUGGCCAAACAGUUUUCCUUCAAGAUCUUGAUGACUUUGUCUUAUUUAGGUUAUUUUCAGGAUUGGGAGAGAUUGAUUGCAAAUGCCAAGUCAUGUUAUAAAAACAGUAUCAGACACUUUAAGGAGAUGGGAAGAAGCAUCACUGAAGGAUGCAAGCCUGGAAGAAUGUGCUUCACAGAGAGAAAACUUGUGGGUAGAUUAACAUUUUCUGGAUAAGGCCGUGCUCAUUCCUUGUGUACCCCCAGGGAUACUAUGCACUGGGACCAAAACCUUUGUUGUCUGAAUUCUCCCAAUUCUUCAUUACUGUAGUGCAGCAGGGGCUGGAGGCAUCUGUACCUGGCUGAGGGAUCCACACAGGCAGAGAAGAGAAGAGGGGCUCCAUGUAAUAGUUUAAGAACUACUAUCCUAAAUAAAUAAAUAUGGCCUCAGGCCAGCCUUGUUUAAUCUUUUGAGGCUUUGGAGAUAUUGAAACAUGAUGUGAUAACAAGCAGCUGUAUUUCACGAAAUAUUUACCAAUGCUCAGUGUGUGCACUCUCUUCAAGCCAUCCAUCCUCUUUCAUUAUUUCACCAGAUACCGUGACUCAUUUCUGAGUCUGUGAUACUUGGCUACUGAAAUAAUUAAUCUUGAAUAGAAACUAAAAUUUGGUUGUAUCAUGCAGGAUUUUCAUUUUGAAUGAGAGUCCAGUCAGUGAUGUCUGAGCUUUAAACUUGCUCAUUUCCAUCUGUAAAAGCAAAUAGUAAAAUAUUAAUAAAAUUGCUUGGAACCAAAAAAUAUUAGCAUUCAAAAAUCUCCAUAUCUUUGGAUAUUUGAUUAAAAAUUCUGAUUUUACUUAGAGUAUUUCUGCAUAUACGUAUAGCUAAGAAGCUUUAUCCAUACAGCAGUUACUAAAACAGGUCUGACCAGCCUAUUUUGUGCAGUGGGAACAGCAAGAGUAUGAAAAUUAGUUUCCAAGUAGGAAAUAAGAUCAGCCAGGAACCAGACAUCUCUUUUCUUCAGUUCUGAUACAUGAGGUCUUUCAAAAUAUGUUUCAAAAGUAUUUGAUAGCUUCCCUUCUAUUUUAGGAAAAUACAUAGACAUAACUGCUUUAAAGGAAGAAAGCCGUCUGUAAAACAUGAGAACUUGUGGGUUUGUACUUGACUUGUACACUUUCUCCUCACCUUUACAAAAUGCCUCCUUGAAUUACAACCUCCCAAGAGAGCUAUGAGCCCAUAACUGAGGCUAUCAGUUGGAGUAGACAACUUACCUGUUUCUGUGUGCAGUUCAGUGGAUGGUUUCAGUGUCCCUGUUUUUAUUUACUUUCCCACCAGUGUCUCUAAGCAAUUACAAAGGCUUCU
This is a long non-coding RNA of Anas platyrhynchos (mallard), 4579 nucleotides long. RefSeq lists it as uncharacterized. The record is from RefSeq and is a predicted model, not a curated record. NCBI's taxonomy places the organism in Eukaryota, Metazoa, Chordata, Aves, Anseriformes, Anatidae.